Molecule: non-coding RNA, 109 nt
Organism: Acanthosepion pharaonis
Lineage: Eukaryota; Metazoa; Mollusca; Cephalopoda; Sepiida; Sepiidae
Source: the annotation of a GenBank genome assembly
GCCAUAUCAUGUUGAAACACCGGUUCUCGUACGAUCACCGAAGUUAAGCAACGUCGAGCCUGGUCAGUACCUAGAUGGGUGACCGCUUGGGAAUACCAGGUGCUGUAAG